RNAcentral lists this long non-coding RNA (10636 nucleotides) under Nicotiana benthamiana. Its description in RNAcentral is "long non-coding RNA (NBEN_LNC031886)". Lineage: Eukaryota; Viridiplantae; Streptophyta; Magnoliopsida; Solanales; Solanaceae. The record is from RNAcentral.
AUUUGAAUGAUGCGUCGCUGGUAUGAUGGCCGUGCGAUCCGUCGAGUUAUCAUGAAUCAUCGCAGAAACGGGUAGAGCCCGCGUCGACCUUUUAUCUAAUAGAUGCAUCCCUUCCAGAAGUUGGGGUUUGUUGCACGUAUUAGCUCUAUAAUUACUACGGUUAUCCGGGUAGUAGAUACCAUCAAACAGACUAUAACUGAUUUAAUGAGCCAUUCGCAGUUUCACAGUCUGAAUUUGUUCAUACUUACAGAUGCAUGGCUUAAUCUUUGAGACAAGCAUAUGACUACUGGCAGGAUCAACCAGGUAGCAUUCCUCAUUGACGCCGGCGUCGCAUGAGCGUAGCACAUAUGACUACUUGCAGGAUCAACCAGGUAGCAUUCCUCAUUGUUGCCGGCGUCGCAUGAGCGUGGCCGACCCAAAAGGGCACAGCCAAGUCCAAGGCGAGCACGACCGUCAUUCGUAAGGAGAAUUCUUUGGGCAGAUAGAAGCCAAUGAAGGUCCCGUGCCCAUUGUGUUUACCGAAUCCGAGAGCCCGAGCAUGCUAAAUCGUGGACCAAGCCAUCGCAAGGAGAAGCUAGGACGACCUGGGACACAACAGAUAGGAGCCAAUGAAGGCCCCAUUCCCAUUGCAUUUACUGAAUCCUAGGGCCCAAGCAUGGUAAGCGUGGACCAAGCCAUUGCAAGGCGAAGCCAGGACGACCUGGGACACAACUGCAGCUUUUGGUUCACCCGACACGUCGAACGCGAGGGGCGAAAGGCGACCAGUUGUGCUUGAUAAUGCCUUGGCAUUAGGUAUGCAACACAAAAAACUGACGUCGAACAAACCUAAUUUUCGCUUGUGACAUGACUGAGAUUGCAUGCGAGCUAGGACGUCGCUACUCGAGCAGGGAUCCAACCUCCCCACACAAGCCGAUGCCAACAUUGCAAAGACAAGACAAGCCCCGCAAAGCACGAAUAUGGGUUUUGAACAAUGCCAGACACAACCCACAACAACCGAUGGCAAUAGGCAAUUUAAUGAGCUUUGCCCCAUGUGCAUGGCACCUUGCGGCGCUAGUUGCACGAUGCUUAGACAUUUUGUUGCCAAAAGCCAUCACCUGCCACAAGCGAUGUUGCCUUCCGUUGUUUCCCACAACAACAGAUGGCAAUCAGCAACUUACUAAGCUUCACCACGUGAGCAUGGCACCUUGCGGCGCUACUUGCACGAUGCUUUGCCAUUUUGUUGCCAAAAGCCAUCAGCCGCCACUAGCGAUGUCGCCUCCCGAUGUUGCCCGCAACAACCGAUGGCAAUCAGCAAUUUACUAAGUUUCGCCCCAUGUGCACGACACGUUGCGGCGCUACUUGCAUGAUGCUUUGCCAUUUUGUUGCCAGAAGCCAUCAGCUGCCACGAGCGAUGUCGCCUCCCGAUGUUGCCCGCAAUAGCCGAUGGCAAUCAGCAACCUACUAAGCAUCGCCCCGUGCGCACGGCACCUUGCGGUGCUACUUGCACGAUGCUUUGACAUUUUGUUUCCAAAACCCAUCACCCGCCACGAGCGAUGUCGCCUCCCAAUGUUUCCCGCAAACACCGAUGGCAAUGAACACCUACUGAGCUUCGCCCCGUGCGCACGACACCUUGUGGUGCUACUUGCACGAUGCUCUGCCGUUCGUUGUCAAAACCCAUAAGCCACCAUAGAGGGGUGUUUACUGACACAACCCACAAAAAUCAAUGGCAAUAGGCAACUUACUAAGCUUCGCCCCAUGUGCACGCACCUUGUGGCGCUACUUGCACGACGCCCUGCCUUUCCAUUGCCGAAAGACGUCAACCGCCAUGAGCGAUGUUGCUCGCAACAACCGAUGGCAAUCGACAUCUACUCCUCCGGUCCAUUGCCGAAAGCCAUCAACCGCCAUGAGCGAUGUUGCCCGCAACAAUCGAUGGCAAUCAACAUCUACUGAGCUUCGCCCCAAGCGCACGGCACCUUGCAGCGCUACUUGCACGAUGCUCCGACGUUCGUUUUCGAUAGCCAUCAACCGCCACGAGAUAUUCCAGACACUACCUACAACCACCGAACUUAAUAAGCUUCUCCCUAUGCGCAGGACACCUUGCGGCGCUACUUGUACUACGUUUUUUCAUUCUUUUGUCAAAUGCCAUAAGCCGCCACGAGCGAUGUCGCCUCCCAAUAUUGCCCACAACAUCUAAUGGCAAUCAACAAGUACUGAGCUUCGUCCAUUGCGCACGGCAUCGUGCGGCGCUACUUGCAUGACGCUCCACUGUUCAUUUCCAAAAGCCAAUGUUUGCCACGAGCGGUGCCGCCACCAGGCGUACUUCAAGACCACACGAGUACUUGACGGUUUGGGAACAUCGAGGACGUAGCACGGACAAGCCGUGUAUGCCCCCAAUGCCCACGCCCCAUGCCAGCGUCCCCCAUGCAUGCCCGCCCCUUCCUGACAGCAAGAACCUGAGGUGCCUCUCAACACCUCAACCCCCCUUAUAUAUACUAUAAAAAAAUUAAGUUUCAGGAGUAGACAUGUUUUGGCCAGAGAAUCAUAAUAGACAUAUACAACACCAAAUAGCACAAACCAAAGUAAAACUUGGCUAAAAUAUUAACAAAUGACUUUUAAGCAUUGUAAAUGAUAUUAUUUACAAAAAAUUAAUAUUUUUUUGAAAUAAUUUUAUUUAAUAACGAAAAUACUUAAUAAAUACUAAAAAAUAUGAAAUUUUUUAUAAAAAUAGAAAAAAUGAUGGAGAAAUAAAACAACUUGACAUAGACGUGGUGCGGCUUGGAGCGACUUGGUGCUCCUUGGAGCGAAGUCGUGCCCUUCCCUUGGAGCGACUUGUCAAAAAUUCCUGACACGUCCUGACACGUACCAUGGCCAUAUCCUGCCAUGUCCUGCAACGUCUUGACUCAAGCCAUGGCCACGCGCUGCCAUGUCCUAACGCGUCCUGACACGUGCCAUGUCCAUGUCCUGACGCGUCCUGCGACGUCCUGACUCGUGCCAUUGCCACGCCCUGCCAUGUCCUGCGACGUCCCGACUGCCAUGGCCAUGUCCUGAUGCGUCCUGACACGUACCAUGGCCAUGUCCUGACACGUCCUGCGACGUCCUGACUCUCGCCAUGGCCACGCCAUGCCAUGUCCUCUGAUGUCCCGACUCGUGCCAUGACCACGCCCUGCCAUGUCCUGCGACGUCCCGUCUCAUGCCAUGGCCAUGACCUGCUGCGUCCUGACACGUACCACGGCCAUGUCAUGACGCGUCCUGCGACGUCCUGACUCGUGCCAUGGCCAUGUCUUGAUACGUCCUGCGACAACCUCACUCGUGCCAUGGCCAUGUCCUGACGCGUCAGGAUGACGUCCCGACUCCUGCCAUGGCCACGCCCAGCCAUGUCCUACGACGUCCCGACUCGUGCCAUGGCCAUGCCCUGCCAUGUCUUGCGACGUCCCGACUCGUNNNNNNNNNNNNNNNNNNNNNNNNNNNNNNNNNNNNNNNNNNNNNNNNNNNNNNNNNNNNNNNNNNNNNNNNNNNNNNNNNNNNNNNNNNNNNNNNNNNNNNNNNNNNNNNNNNNNNNNNNNNNNNNNNNNNNNNNNNNNNNNNNNCAUGUCUUGCGACGUCCCGACUCGUGCCACGGCCACGCCCCGCCCUAUCCUGCGACGUCCCGACUCGUGCCAUGACCAUGUCCUGCUGCGUCUUGAUGCUUCCUAACACGUACCAUGGCAAUGUCCUGACACGUCCUGCGACGUCCUGACUCGUGCCAUGGACACGCCCUGCCAUGUCCUGCGAUGUCCUGACUCGUGCCAUGGCCACGCCCUUCCAUGUCCUGCGAUGUCCUGACUCGUGCCAUGGCCACGCCCUACCAUGUCCGGACGUGUCCUGACACGUGCCAUGGCCAUGUCCUAACGCGUCUUCACACGUGCCAUGGCCAUGUCCUGACGUGUCCUGACACAUCCUGACUCGUGCCAUGGCCAUGCCCUUCCAUGUCCUGACACAUCCCCACCCGCGUCCUGCCAUGUCCUGUGACGUACUGACACGUCCUGGCCAGUGCCAUGGCCACGCGCUGCCAUGUCCUGGGACGUCUUAACUCAUGCCAUUGCUACGCCUCAAAAACCUUGGCCUCUCAAGCCACACCUAAUAAAACCUUGGCAUAGGCCUCGACCUCUUAAGCGAUACGUCGAAAAAACUUGGUCUAGGCCUCGACCUCCACCGACACCCCGAAAAGCCUCUAGUAGUGAAAUGUGGUUUGGUAUUUCCCUCGACGUGACUAAGUGUCAAGUCACAUUGUCCACUUCAUGCACAAAUAGUAUACGUUCCAAGGUAUUGAGGACUUGUUCGAUGUUUCCAACACUUAGUAUAAUAUAGCAUCAAGGUAGGAGUGAACCUCUUAUCGGAAAAGUUAGAAAAUGAUUGGAUUGGAGGGGGAGGGACGAAUCGGAGCGACAAAGGGUUGAAUCUCAGUGGAUUGUGGCAGCAAGGCCAGUCUUCCACAUACAAUACACCGUCGCGUAUUUAUGUCAUUUGCAAAGGAUUCUACCCGCCGCUCGAUGGAAAUUGUACUUCAAGGCGGCCACCGCAGCUCUUCUGCCACGGUGACUUAGCCAACGACACGUUCCCUUGGGGGCCAAAGGCCCCUACUGCGGGUCGGCAAGCGGACGGCGAGCGCAUGCCUCGCUUCUAGCCCGGAUUCUAACUUAGAGGUGUUCAGUCAUAAUCCAGCGCACGGUAGCUUCGCGCCGCUGGCUUUUCAACCAAGCACGAUGACCAAUUGUGCGAAUCAACGGUUCCUCUCGUACUAGGUUGAAUUACUAUUGCGACACUGUCAUCAGUAGGGUAAAACUAACCUAUCUUACGAUUUUCAACCCAUCGCGAUGACCAAUUGUGUGAAUCAACGAUUCCUCUCGUACUAGGUUGAAUUACUAUUGCGACACUGUCAUCAGUAGGGUAAAGCUAUAUUGUCUUACGACGGUCUAAACCCAGCUCGCGUUCCCUAUUGGUGGGUGAAGAAUCCAACACUUGGUGAAUUUCUGCUUCACAAUGAUAGGAAGAGCCGACAUCGAAGGAUAAAAAAGCAACGUCGCUAUGAAUGUUUGGCUGCCACAAGCCAGUUAUCCCUGUAGAAACUUUUGUGACACCUCUAGCUUCGAAUUUUGAAGGUCUAAAAUAUCGUUAGUCCACGCUUUCACGGUUCGUAUUGGUACUGGAAAUCAGAAUCAAACGAUCUUUUGCCCUUCUGUUCCACCCGAGAUUUCUGUUAUCGUUGAGCUCAUCGAAGGACACCUGCGUUAUCUUUUAACAGAUGUGCCGCCCUAGCCAAACUCCACACCUGACAAUGUCUUCCACCCGUAUCGGCGUGCAAGCAAGCCUUGGGUCCAAAAAGAGGGGCAGUGCCCCGCUUCCGAUUCACGGAAUAAGUAAAAUAACGUUAAAAGUAGUGGUAUUUCACUUNNNNNNNNNNNNNNNNNNNNNNNNNNNNNNNNNNNNNNNNNNNNNNNNNNNNNNNNNNNNNNNNNNNNNNNNNNNNNNNNNNNNNNNNNNNNNNNNNNNNNNNNNNNNNNNNNNUAAACUACACCUCUCAAGUAAUUUCACAAAGUCGGACUAGAGUCAAGCUCAACAAGUUCUUCUUUCCCCGCUGAUUCUGCCAAGCCCAUUCCCUUGGUUGUGGUUUCGCUGGAUAGUAGACAGGGACAGUGGGAAUCUCGUAAAUCAAUUCAUGCGCGUCAUUAAUUAGAUUACGAGGAAUUUGGCCACCUUAAGAGAGUCAUAGUUACUCCCGCCAUUUACCCGCGCUUGGUUGAAUUUCUGCACUUUGACAUUCAGAGCACUGGCAGAAAUCACAUUGCGUAAACAUCUGCAGGGACCAUCCCAAUGCUUUGUUUUAAUUAAACAGUCGGAUUCCCCUUGUCGGUGCCAUUUCUGAGUUGGCUGUUCGACGCUCGGGGAAGGCCCCUGAAGGAACCGUUCCCUGUCUGUCCCCCGGCCGGCACGCUGCGACUCGUUCUCGCUUCGGGAGCAGCUCGAGCAGUCCACUGAAAGCCAACGGGUUCGGGACUUGGACCCCCGUGCCUAGCCCUCAGAGCCAAUCCUUUUCCCGGAGUUACGGAUCCAUUUUGCCGACUUCCCUUGCCUACAUUGUUCCAUCGACCAGAGGUUGUUCUCCUUGGAGACCUGAUGCGGUUAUGAGUACGACCGGGCGUGGACGGCACUCGAUCCUCCGGAUUUUCAAGGGCCGUCGUGGGGGCACUGGACGCCCCGCGACGUGCGGUGCUAUUCCAGCCGCUGCACCGCACCACGUCUAUUGCUAACCAACGUGGGCGUUUUUGACCUAAUCCAAAUCCACACCCGCACGGCAGUCAAGUCCCGUGCUUGACUCAGCCUUCCGACAGUUGCAAGUUUUAGCAAGUUUGACCUUAGACAAAAAUUAGGCAACAACACAGAAUUUUAAUGGAACACAAACAUAUACAGGACAAAUUCCCAACCUUUGCAUUAAUAUAUAAAAUAUACAAAGGACCCUCAAUUGCUAUGAACUAUCCAUCCGCUCACAACCCACUUUUGACGAAGAGCACCUGGUUGUUCUUGGCCAACACUAAGAUCUGCCCAUGCACAACCUUAGCCCCAUUUUGGAAACACUAGAAAACACUCAUGUUUCUCUCUUGUUUCCCGCGAGUAAUUCCCUUGAACUUACUCUAUUUUCCCACAAGUAAUUCCCUUGAACUUACUUCGUUGCUUUGCCUAAGAUAAGGGUCCUAUUUAUAGGCCCUUAAACUUAACCGCCUAUGACACUUGUUGUCUAACAGCUUUUUCCACUUGUCGGACUAAGCUUAAAUCAUGCUCCAAACUUGUGGUUGACAUCCCCAACUACUUAGGACCAUUAUACACGAAAUGGGGCCACAAUAAAAACAAUAAUAAGUUCAUGGGAGAUCAUGAGAGAUCAUGGCCUACAAACAAGGUAACCGCUGCCAACCGCUUUCCAUGUGCUUUGCAUGUGCUAUUUCCUUGGCCAGCUUAAUUUCGCCCCCAAGGCUGCCCGUGCCAUUCCUUAGGUCAAUUAGACAGUGCCCAUGCCAAUGUCUUUCCUGCAAUCCGCUGCUAUGAUAUUUCCCCACACGCCUGGCGCCCAUGCACCCGCACACUGCCUUGGCCUAGUUUUCUGCCUUGUCCGUUCCAACCUCAUUUCCCUCAUGCCAUUGCUUGUAAUCUCUUUUCCAUAGCCUACUCUUAGCUAUUGAAAGCCUUUGUCGUCAACCCGCAUUUCCUCCUCGACUAAGCUUAGCCCGCGCAUAGCUGUCACAACUCAAGAGUGUCAUGCCACUGAGUUUGGCGCGCAUGUGGUGCCAUGCCGCCCAACCAUUGCCGAUGCUGCCUCUUCAAGCCUUUUCCAAGCGAACCUUGCCCAUGCCAACGCCUUGGCCAAAUCUUGUCCACCACAGCCCGUCGACCCACAUGAUCGUUUUGCUCGCACAUAGGCCAAUGACAAGGCCAUCACGCCCAAAUCCUUGCCACAGUUGUGCCACGUCCGAUGACAAAAGUUACGGUCCUGACAAAACACCCCCUAUCUUAUAAAUUAACGUCCUCGUCGAGCUAUCUCAAUUUAACAACCCCAAGGGGUUGUUGACAAACACCGCCGGGUGCUCCCCUCGCAUCUGCCACUAUGGCAUUUGCCUCCGCCACUUGUUCCUGUCCCAUCGCAGCUAGCAAUGCAUUUACCUUAGCCUGCAUCCGACAGUCCCUCUUCAAGUGCGGUCCACCAAAAGUGAAACAACCUUUGAAAAUGCUGUUGCAUUCCUUGCCAUUGCGAUUUUCCGGUCUCACAAUCUUGACAAGUUCCUCUUUUUCAGACGCUUGGCCCUUUCCGUUUCUAUUCCAUUCCCUUGCUUUGUCCUUCCUUGCGUCGGACUUUGAAUGCGAAGUUUCAAUUGGUUCAUCACCUAUUCAGGUCCGCCAACGCAUCUGCCUCUACAAUGGCAGUAGAGAGGCUUUGCACAUUUUGCCUUCUCAACUCCAAUUGCGCCCAUCCCUUCAACCCGCUCAUGAAGUAAUGCAGCUUGUCUUCUUCUGCCAUUUUACUUAGAUUGAGCAUCAAGGACGAAAAUUCCUUGACAUAUUCCCUCACCGUGCCACUCUGUUUCAAGUGACGCAGUCCAUCUCGUGCCAUCCACGACGACUUUGUUGGAAGGAAUUGGGAUUUUAAUUCCUUCUUCAUCAACUACCAAGUUCCGACCCUGGGCAGUCCAGCACCUUCAAUAUAUGCACUUCGUGGACGCCACCACACCUUUGCAUCGUCUGUAAAGUACAUUGGUGUGAUAACCACCUUUUCAUCAUCCGGCACACGUGCAGCCUGGAAAUACUGCUCCAUAUCCCAUUGGAAAUUUUACAGUUCCUUGGCACUUCUUGCACCACCAUCAGCCUUUGGCUCCAGAAUCCUCAGCUUAGUGCGCUCAUCAUUUUUAGGGGCAGAAUUUUGUAAUACCCUUCGAUGAUCAGCCACUUCCUCGCGUAAUUCAUCUUUCUCUUGGCGUACCAAGGCCAUUUCUGCCAGCGUUGUCUCAUGUCUCGCUGCAUAAUCUGCCUCCAGCCUCGCCAUUCUCGCAAGAACAGAAGAAUCACCGCCACUUUCAAGAGCUUGCCCGAUUUGUGCUUCCAACUGCUCAACUCUUUGACGCAGUUCCGCAUUCGUGCCACCCGCAUUGUUCUCAAAAAUCCUCCAAACGUGCCAUUCAAGCAAGAACAUAAGAAUCACCAUCACUUUCAAGAGCCUGCUUAACUAGUGCUUCCAACUGCUCAACUGUUUGACGCAGCUCCGCAUUUGUGCCACCAGCCAUGUUCUCAAAAAUUCCAACGUAAUCUGCCACUGAUCGUUUCGCCACUGCCACGAACCUGCUCAGCUCUGAUACCAAUUGUCACGGGGUCGAUUUUGGCCAACUCCAAAACCACACCCAUGCGGCAGUCAAGUCCCCCUGUUUAGGCAGUGCCACAAAUCUGCUCAGCUCUGAUACCAAUUGUCAUGGGGGCAUUUUUGACCUAGUCCAAAACCACACCCACGCGGCAGUCAAGUCCUGUGCUUGACUCAGCCUUCCGAAACACUUGCAAUUUCAGCAAGUUUAACCUUAGACGAAAUUUAGGCAACAAAACAGAAUUUUAAAGGAACACAAACAUAUAGGACAAAUUCCCAAACUUUGCAAUAAUAUAGAAAAUGUAUAAAGGACCCUCAAUUUCAAUGAACUAUCCGUCCGCUCACAUCCCACUUUUGACGAAGAAUUCCUUGUCAUUCUUGGCCAACACUAAGAUCUGCCCAUGCAAAACCUUAGCCCCCUUUUGGAAAUGCUAGAAAACCCUAACGUUUCUCUCUUUUUUCCCACGAGUAAUUCCCUUGAACUUAAUUUAUUUUCCCACAAGUAAUUCCCUUGAACUUACUUCGUUGCUUUGCCUAAGUAAAUGGUCCUAUUUAUAGGCCCUUAAACUUAACCGUCCAUGACACUUGUUGUCUAACAGCUUUUGCCACUUGUCGUACUAAACUUAAAUCAUGCUCCUAACUUGUAUUUGACAUCCCCAACAACUUAGGAUCAUAAUAGACGAAAUGGGGCCACUAUACAAACAAUAAUUAGUUCAUGGGAUAAUGGGAGAUCAUGGCCUACAAACAAGGUAACCGUCGCCAACCGCUUUCCAUGUGCUUUGCAUGUGCCAUUUCCUUGGCCAGCUUAAUAUCGCCUCCAAGGCUGCCCGUGCCAUUCCUUAGGUCAAUUAGACAUUUCCCAUGACAAUGUCUUGCCCGCAAUCCGCUGCCAUGAUAUUUCCGCACACGCCCGGCGCCUAUACACCCGCACACUGCCUUGGCCUAGUUUUCUGCCUUGUCCGGGCCAACCUCAUUUUCGUAAUGCCAUUGCUUGUAUUCUCUUUCCCAUAGCGUAGUCUUAGCAAUUGAAAUCCUUUGCCGUCAACCCGCAUUUCCACCUCGCCUUAGCUUAGCCCGCACAUAGCUGCAACAAACCAAGAGUGUCAUGCCACUGAGAUUGGCGCGCAUGCCGUGCCAUGCCCCCCAACCAUUGCAGAGGCUACCUCUUCAAGCCUUUUCCAAGCGCACCUUGCCCAUGCCAAGGCAUUGGCCAAUAAUUUUCCACCACUGCCCGUCGCCCCGCAUGAUCGUUUUGCUGGCACAUAGGCCAAUGACAAUGCCAUCACGCCCAAAUCCUUGCCACAGUCGUGCCACGUCCGAUGAAAAAAUUUAGGGUCCUGACAGUAGGCUAGUAUCCUACCAUCGAAAGUUGAUAGGGCAGAAAUUUGAAUGAUGCGUCACCGCCGCGAUGGCCGUGCGAUCCGUCGAGUUAUCAUGAAUCAUCGCAGCAACAGGCAGAGCCCGCGUCGACCUUUUAUCUAAUAAAUGCAUCCCUUCCAGAAGUCGGGGUUUGUUGCACGUAUUAGCUCUAGAAUUACUACGGUUAUCAUGAAUCAUCGCAGCAACAGGCAGAGCCCGCGUCGACCUUUUAUCUAAUAAAUGCAUCCCUUCCAGAAGUUCGGGUUUUUUCCACGUAUUAGCUCUAGAAUUACUACGGUUAUCGGAGUAGAAGAUACCAUCAAACAAACUAUAACUUAUUUAAUGAGCCAUUCACAGUUUCACAGUCUAAAUUUGUUCAUAUUUACACAUGCAUGGCUUAAUCUUUGAGACAAGCAUAUGACU